AGUUAUAAGAAUAGCGAAGGAUUUAGGCUUGUGCUUUUUUUGUUUCUUCUUCCAUUUGACGUAGGUAUGUGACUAAAAAUCUUAAAUUACGUGGAUUACUCUGAUCUUUAUAUCACUGGAAAAGGCUGAAAGAGACUGUAAAUGACCUAGAUUCAGCCCAUCGCCUUUUUAUUUUGUAAUUCUAAUUUCUUUUUGUAUAAUGUGGUUGGGACUUUUAUUUUGAAGGAAUGUAAAGACGCGCUAACCGGAAGUCAUCAGUGAAGCGAACGUGAAGGCUGCAUGUGCUUCGUGUCUGCCAAAACGAUUAUAAAAACAAAGUUAAAGGUUUAAAAAAGUAAAGUUUAUGAUUUUCUUAUAGCACCUGGUUGACAAGGGAACAAGCUCUUACGGUGUGUUCACACAUACAAGGCUGAAUAAAAGGAUUGUGAACCAUCAGUUUGAGAGACCAUCUUUUCAACCGGGGAUGCUACAGAGACCAUUCCAAAGGGGAGUCUACAUUCCAGCGAAUUUAUGCCGUGAACUGAAGUAGACCAACCAAACUGUGAAAAGCGUCUUGGAUUUCAUCAGGUAAACUGAAUGUUUAAA
RNAcentral lists this long non-coding RNA (585 nucleotides) under Oryzias javanicus (javanese ricefish). RNAcentral's name for it is "lncRNA (ENSOJAG00000007148.1)". The record is from RNAcentral. Lineage: Eukaryota; Metazoa; Chordata; Actinopteri; Beloniformes; Adrianichthyidae.